RNAcentral lists this ribosomal RNA (468 nucleotides) under uncultured bacterium. RNAcentral describes it as "partial 16S ribosomal RNA". It matches the Rfam family "Bacterial small subunit ribosomal RNA", at positions 28 to 507 of the family's 1533-position model. The record is from RNAcentral.
GACGAACGCUGGCGGCGUGCUUAACACAUGCAAGUCGAACGGAAAGGCCCUGCUUUUGUGGGGUGCUCGAGUGGCGAACGGGUGAGUAACACGUGAGUAACCUGCCCUUGACUUUGGGAUAACUUCAGGAAACUGGGGCUAAUACCGGAUAGGAGCUCCUGCUGCAUGGUGGGGGUUGGAAAGUUUCGGCGGUUGGGGAUGGACUCGCGGCUUAUCAGCUUGUUGGUGGGGUAGCGGCUUACCAAGGCUUUGACGGGUAGCCGGCCUGAGGGGGUGACCGGCCACAUUGGGACUGAGAUACGGCCCAGACUCCUACGGGAGGCAGCAGUGGGGAAUAUUGCACAAUGGGCGGAAGCCUGAUGCAGCAACGCCGCGUGCGGGAUGACGGCCUUCGGGUUGUAAACCGCUUUCGCCUGUGACGAAGCGUGAGUGACGGUAAUGGGUAAAGAAGCACCGGCUAACUACGUG